RNAcentral lists this ribosomal RNA (252 nucleotides) under uncultured bacterium. RNAcentral's name for it is "partial 16S ribosomal RNA". It matches the Rfam family "Bacterial small subunit ribosomal RNA", at positions 525 to 776 of the family's 1533-position model. The record is from RNAcentral.
ACGGAGGGUGCGAGCGUUGUUCGGAAUUAUUGGGCGUAAAGAGCGUGUAGGCGGGUUGGUAAGUCAGAUGUGAAAGCCCCGGGCUCAACCCGGGAAGUGCAUUUGAAACUGCCUUUCUUGAGUAUGGGAGAGGAGAGUGGAAUUCCCAGUGUAGAGGUGAAAUUCGUAGAUAUUGGGAGGAACACCCGUGGCGAAGGCGACUCUCUGGACCAAUACUGACGCUGAGACGCGAAAGCGUGGGGAGCAAACAGG